AUUGAACGCUGGCGGCAUGCCUUACACAUGCAAGUCGAACGGUAACAGGUCUUCGGAUGCUGACGAGUGGCGAACGGGUGAGUAAUACAUCGGAACGUGCCCGAUCGUGGGGGAUAACGAAGCGAAAGCUUUGCUAAUACCGCAUACGACCUACGGAUGAAAGCAGGGGACCGCAAGGCCUUGCGCGAACGGAGCGGCCGAUGGCAGAUUAGGUAGUUGGUGGGAUAAAAGCUUACCAAGCCGACGAUCUGUAGCUGGUCUGAGAGGACGACCAGCCACACUGGGACUGAGACACGGCCCAGACUCCUACGGGAGGCAGCAGUGGGGAAUUUUGGACAAUGGGCGAAAGCCUGAUCCAGCCAUGCCGCGUGCAGGAUGAAGGCCUUCGGAUUGUAAACUGCUUUUGUACGGAACGAAAAGACUCUGGUUAAUACCUGGGGUCCAUGACGGUACCGUAAGAAUAAGCACCGGCUAACUACGUGCCAGCAGCCGCCGCGG
RNAcentral lists this ribosomal RNA (498 nucleotides) under uncultured bacterium. RNAcentral describes it as "partial 16S ribosomal RNA". It matches the Rfam family "Bacterial small subunit ribosomal RNA", at positions 30 to 523 of the family's 1533-position model. The record is from RNAcentral.